RNAcentral lists this small RNA (120 nucleotides) under Aureimonas sp. Leaf454. Its description in RNAcentral is "Alphaproteobacterial ar14". It matches the Rfam family "Alphaproteobacterial ar14". From Rfam's summary of the family: Smr14C2 was renamed NfeR1 (Nodule Formation Efficiency RNA) highly expressed in salt stress and during the symbiotic interaction on legume roots. Lineage: Bacteria; Pseudomonadati; Pseudomonadota; Alphaproteobacteria; Hyphomicrobiales; Aurantimonadaceae. The record is from Rfam by way of RNAcentral.
GGAUUUCGCGUCUGUUCAUCUCCUCCCUGAACCGAUGCGAAUCAGAGUCUGCGGUUUCCUCCUCCCACCGCAGACUUCACAAACGACACCCGCCGGCUCCUCCCCCGGCGGGUGUUGUUG